Long non-coding RNA from Oncorhynchus tshawytscha (Chinook salmon), 995 nucleotides. The record is from Ensembl. NCBI's taxonomy places the organism in Eukaryota, Metazoa, Chordata, Actinopteri, Salmoniformes, Salmonidae.
GUUGAAGAGGUAAAAUAAAGCUAUUUAAAUGAACGAAUUAACCUUUGUCAAGUGAGAGCUCCAUGGAGAAGCUGUUGCGCACGCUGUUGUUGCGCACGCGAACCCAGGCAAAGAAGGGAGGGCAGAGCGAGCCAUGGUGAGCCAAUAAAAAGGCACCGGAGUCCUGCUAACCGUCGGCUUUGCUCGAGACAGUGUAAAACGGGACCAAUAUUUCUGUCGGACGCGUACUGUCUUCGAGUGUGCAAAGGACACACCAUCUCAUUGACUGCGCCUGUCCCUACAUAGGAAGACGAAGACAUGCUGUUGCUCGUAGGGAACGUUUCAGGACUGGUGGCCAGUAAGACCGGAGACAUAUGAGCUGGGGGACCAGGAUCAUUGAUAGCCACCUACCCCUGGAAGAGGUAGAUGAGCACCAUAGCUUGGAGAGGAGAAGACAGGAUGAAGGUGAGCCCGCUACAGGAUGAAGCUGAGCCCGCUACAGGAUGAAGCAAUGAGAGCUUAGGUAAGCUCCUCCACGACCUGUUCUGCAGCAACACAACUCCCCUGGACUACACCCCUGGACUACACCAGCCACGGAGUAACAGCAACAAGAGAUAGCCGUGGGAGAGUCAGAGUUCUGCUCCUGGAAUACAAACAAGUCCUGUCUCUAUAACACCCCUCCUGCAUUUGUAAUCCACCGACUCUGAUGACGAAGGGGGAAAAAAGUUUGCUUUCACCUCUGGCGAACAGUUUUGCCUGCAGUGCUGAAAAGGCGUUGUGUUUCCAGCUCAUUUGUUUGUUUAAUGAUGUCUCAACUGAACUAACACGUAGACCUAGUGCGCUGUUCAGGAAUACAUAGGUACCUUGUAAUUGAACAACAAGGCCCAGAGUUCCGGAGUGUUCAGAGUGUGUCCGAGAUGGAUACACACGAAGCCUAAGAGGAAGAUACACCUGUGAAGGCUGUGCAGAAGCUGACGGGGGGGUUUCCUCUGAUAGAGCCUCCUCAUUCUGCAAAC